UCGGGCUCGGCUAGUAUUUGGAAGCUUUUUCUAAAGCACCAAUAGGAGCGCUCCACAUAUUAUGUAUCGCGGCCAAUUAGAGGCACCCAAAUCUUAACCACUAUUUUCGGACAUUCAAAUUAUGCAAAUCACUCUUUCAUCAGCCUCCAUACGAUUACCACACCACUUUUACAUUUAACCGUUUAGUCAAGGAACCCUUGUAAAACCAGUACCUAUUGAAAUUAUAAUAGUUUACUUCAAAUCGAAGCUUUUUAUUUGAGUCGUCGAGAUCCUGACCUGCACGGCGGCUACAUAUGGUCCUUCGAAGCCUUCAAGACAAGGGAAGAUUUGACCAACAACGGGUUCUUCGUGGAAGUGGACUUUGACCAUACUUCGAAAUCGUCUUCGUUGUCUUCAGUUUCUUCGGCUUAGGAAGAACACGCAACGGACGUCGAAAGCAAGGGGUCCCAGCGUCUACCGGCAUAAGGGAGGCGUUCGUUGGACAUCCACCACAUCGAGGACUUCAGUUCCAGUACAUCGCAUCACCUGAAUACGUAGGACUAGACAGAGUGAGUUCGUUCCAAUUUCCUUCCAUUUCCCUUCUAUACCUAUCUUUCUUGGAAUUAAGAAUAGCUCUAUACGUAUCAGGCACAAAUAAUUCAUUUUCAUACAAAUCAAUUGCUAAAUACAUUUAAAACCAUAAUUCAUAUCGAUAAAAUAGCUUAGCUUCAUAUAACUUCGCAGUUAAAAUCUUAUUACAUAUUAAAAAGCCGUCUCCAUCGCUUAUUAUCAAUCGCCUCAGUAACAUAAAAUUGCUAAAUCAUCACAUUCCGCGCGCAGCUGCUUAUCUACUCCGCUUCUUUUGUUCUCGUCAGUUGCAUUUUAACUCGUUAGUGAUCACACAUAUUAGGUAAUUGCAUUUUUAAAUUUACGUCUUAAUCAAUAUGGCUGACACGUUAAAGGAGUUAGUUAGGAAACGUGGCAGUUUGAAAGCUAAAUUAACUUUGUUUAACACAUACAUUAAUGUGGCUAAAACGUGUGAACAAUUAAGUGAGUUACAAAUAACGGAGUUGCAGUGUCGUUUAGAUAAAAUAGAAUCGGUAUACCCAGAGUUUGACGCUUUACAGAUGGAGAUUGAAGCGUUAACUGAGAAACCCGACGAAGCAUAUGCGGAGCGGGAGCAGUUUGAAAGCCAGUUCUUUGUUCAAGGCUCUUCACUUGGAACUUGUCACAAGUCUAACGACAGAGUCGUUCCUUGCUGCUCUCCGCCGCUUCAUGAGUCGUCGGGGAAAGCCUCAAACUCUGUAUUGCGACAAUGGGACUUCGUUUGUCGGGGCAUCAAACGAGCUCAGUAAUUUCUUAAAAAAUAAUCACGAUAAGUUGCAGUCAGGUAUGGCAGAAAAUCUUAUUAACUUUAAAUUUAGCCCGGCUUACUCACCUCACUUCGGCGGACUUUGGGAAGCCGCAGUAAAAUCAACAAAAUAUCACCUCAAACGCAUUCUAUCUCUUACACACUUAACGUAUGAAGAAUUAAAUUGUUGCCUGAUUCAGAUAGAAGCUAUUUUAAAUUCUAGGCCCCUAACCCCCUUAUCUUCUGAUCCAUCUGAUCUGACCUACCUAUCGCCCUCUCAUUUCCUUAUUGGACGUUCUCUUCUGUCAGUCCCACAAGAACCUCUGACUGAAGAAAACAUCUCGCGGCUUGAACGGUUCCAGAGAGUUGAAAAACUCAAGCAGCAUUUUUGGAGCCGCUUUUCUAAUGAGUAUGUUACUCUCCUCCAGCAGAAGACGAAGUGGCACACCUCAACGGACCAGCUGCAAGUUGGGACUAUGGUCUUAGUCAAGGACCGCGCACUUCCUCCUCUCCUGUGGCUGCUGGGACGCGUCACGAAGCUGUACCCGGGCACGGACAACGUCACCAGAGUCGCCGACAUACGCACGAAGAAAGGAGUCAUCCGUAGGGCGUAUAACAACUUGUGCCCCCUCCCUAUUACUUAGUUAAUUCUACAACUUCCAUUUUUUUUAUUGUCUUUUUUUUGUUGAGUCUCUCAACGCCCGGGAGUAUGUUGCGAACGCAACCUUUAUUUGUAUAAUACAGUAACUAAACGCAGCCGUCGGGCUCGGCUAGUAUUUGGAAGCUUUUUCUAAAGCACCAAUAGGAGCGCUCCACAUAUUAUGUAUCGCGGCCAAUUAGAGGCACCCAAAUCUUAACCACUAUUUUCGGACAUUCAAAUUAUGCAAAUCACUCUUUCAUCAGCCUCCAUACGAUUACCACACCACUUUUACAUUUAACCGUUUAGUCAAGGAACCCUUGUAAAACCAGUACCUAUUGAAAUUAUAAUAGUUUACUUCAAA
Long non-coding RNA from Cydia splendana, 2331 nucleotides. RefSeq lists it as uncharacterized. The record is from RefSeq and is a predicted model, not a curated record. The transcript is spliced from 2 exons. NCBI's taxonomy places the organism in Eukaryota, Metazoa, Arthropoda, Insecta, Lepidoptera, Tortricidae.